UCAUCUUCAGUCCGAUCCUUGUAGUCGAGGUCGUUGAUGGCUGCAGCGGCGAUACGGUUUCCACUGGUGAUGUCACGAAGGAUCAAGGAGGAAUCGUGAAAGUGUCGUGGCCGUCGUGCAGCCUACUGUCAACUAUUUUCUUCAAAAUCAUUGUAUUCUACUGAAUGUGUCAUCGAAAUGAUAUAGAUCACCAACCCCAGCAUGGACCAAUCUCUCAUUCCAUCUUGUAGAGAACCUUGUAUAACUGAUUAGCGGUUUCAUGUGUUCUAAAUUACAGGAUUCUAAUUUUGCAUGACAGACUUUAUGAGAAGUCAUAUCCUAUGAAGACAAAGGACAAGGACUGUACAGUCAACAAGGUCCCUUGUUUGCUAACCUGUUGGCUGCUACCCUUGAAUCUCUCUUGUUUACUUCCUUAAACAGGCCUCUUGAUUUGAGGGUAACUCCUUCGCUACUUGUCAUGGACUUCAUCCACUGGUGAAAACUGACGCGAGAAUGCUGUGAUUCAAGACUGAUAAAUUUAUUCGAGACUGAUAAAUUGUGUAGUUUUUAGAUAAAUUACAAAUGGAUAUCUGGGCUCCCUUCUUUUCUGUGGCCCCGUUUCCCUAACUAACCACUAACCAACGCCCGCCGGUGGUCACU
Molecule: long non-coding RNA, 639 nt
Organism: Daphnia pulicaria
Lineage: Eukaryota; Metazoa; Arthropoda; Branchiopoda; Diplostraca; Daphniidae
Exons: 5
Source: RefSeq, a predicted model, not a curated record